AUGACUUCCAGGCAAUUCCACUACCAGAACAUACGAGCUGUUACACCACCUGAUCAAGCUUGCCUUAUUGGCAUGGCAAUGGGGAAAAUUGUCUUCAAGGGAAGAGCCAAAUGCAAAGUACCAAAAUCGUCUCAUGCACAUUCUUGUUUGCACUUUACAAUGCAAAAUUCAGAGGUGAUCUUGUUUGCACUUUACAAUGCAAAAUUCAGAGGUGAUCUUACAUCCAUCCAAAAAAAAGUUUACCAUAAAUUCCAGGAAAUUCCACCACCAGAACUGUUACACCACCUGAUCAAGGUUGCCUUAGUGGCAUGGCAAUUGGCAAAUUGCCUUCUAUGUAAACAACACUUUCACUUGCCUACUCUGGUGAGCUGGUCAUAG
Molecule: ribosomal RNA, 378 nt
Filed under: Triticum aestivum (bread wheat)
Lineage: Eukaryota; Viridiplantae; Streptophyta; Magnoliopsida; Poales; Poaceae
Description: partial small subunit ribosomal RNA
Source: RNAcentral